Homo sapiens (human) is the source of this 958-nucleotide long non-coding RNA. Ensembl annotates it as TNPO1 divergent transcript. Its record names the gene TNPO1-DT. NCBI's taxonomy places the organism in Eukaryota, Metazoa, Chordata, Mammalia, Primates, Hominidae. The record is from Ensembl.
AAAAAAGAGGCACAGUGAAGCUAAAUAUAUUGGCUAAAGAUCACAAAGCUAAGAAGAUUAUCAAGGUUAUCUGUGCUCAAUGUGUGCAUCUCAGAUCAGCAGCAUCAGCAUCACCUGGGAGCUUGUUAGAGCUGGAGACUCUCAGGCUCCACGGCAGACUUCCUGAAUCAGAAGCUACAAUUUAACAGGAUCCUCGGGUGAUCUGAAAAUGCAAUAAAGUUUGGGAAGCACUGCUGUUGGUCAUUAGACAAUCUAAUGAACUAAGACUUUUGCCGAGCAUCUGAGUUGAAAUUUUUCAAGAUGAAAAGUUGCUAAAGAAAGAGAAAGGGAAGCGGUUUGCUCCAGUAUUCCUCUUUCCACCUUCCCACUGACUGGGAAGCGGCGGUUAGCAGAGCCACAGUCUUGGAUUAGAGAUAAGAGGGACAUGUUGAGGAAGGUGGAGUCUCCCCCACAGCCCUGGACCAGGCUCCAGUGCCAACAAAAGCCAAGAAGAACCUCUGGAGCAAUCAGUCUCUCUGCUGAGGGAGUGCAUUUUGCUUCCAGCACAGUGCUCAACUCACACAGUUCCCAUGGAAACCCAGGGGCUACAGAGGUGUCUAGACCCUGUUUGGCACUCUAACCAGAAGUAUUCCCAGAGACUACAAGCACACUGCACACCUUGGCUCAGUUUCAAACUGGAGACAGGCAGAGAAAGAAAGAUCUUCCUCCCCUACUUUCCCGGGGAGGUCUUGAGGAGACUUCCUUUUUGUUAGUUGUUUCCAAAUUGUCCCUAUCUGAGUGGUUCUCAAACAGUGGGUCUUCGCGUGGUCAUGAAGGGCCUGCAAGAAGAUAAGGGCACCAAGCGUGGCCUGUGGCUGAGAUAAAUGAAGCAUCUCUCAUAUAUGUGUUAUGAUUUUUCAAGUAAAUGAGGUUGCUAUUGGGCUUAAUUAAAAUAAAAACUAAUUUAAGAGCAAUGCUA